Molecule: long non-coding RNA, 1127 nt
Organism: Vicia villosa (hairy vetch)
Lineage: Eukaryota; Viridiplantae; Streptophyta; Magnoliopsida; Fabales; Fabaceae
Exons: 7
Source: RefSeq, a predicted model, not a curated record
UGAAAAAGAUUUGGAAAAGCUCUCCUCCCUCACCCGAACCCUAGUUGCCGCCGCUGCAGUUUCUUCUUAUUGCGUCGAUUGUCGUUUACCACCACUAACAUAUCCUUCAUUGCAAUGGAAGAAGGAGGCAUAGGAACACUCUCGGAAGUUCUCCAAAGCCUCAAGAAGUUAUUGCUUAGGUAUCGCGACGGUCUAGAACAGCUUGAGCGUCUCGAGAAUUCCACCUCUACCUCCACUGCCAGCCUUAAUUCAGAACUUUCGUUUACUAUAAAGAAGUUUAUCAACCAGAUUCAAUCCCUCUGCGUUGAGAUGGACCGCCGUUUUGUUGCAGCCAAACCCUAACACAACCUCUGUAAAAGAGCUUAGAGAUUUGAACCAUUCCUCAACAUCAGCCAAGCAAGGGAAUUCCAUCCACCAUUUUGAAUCACACCUCUAUCCUUAGAGAUUUGAACCAUCCCAAUAUUGUCAGGUUGUUGCAAAUUCUAGCUACUGAGGAAUAUAUGUUUGGUGUGUGUAAAUCUUGAAAAAUAGUACAUCACUAAUCCCGUGCUUAGCAUUCACACUUUCGAAAGAUCUGUUCUACAUCAAGCUCUUUUUGGAAUUUGUGCACCCAAAACUUCUAUUCAUAAGGCUCAUCUGAGCUAUACAGCACCUGAACUUUUGAUGGGCUCAACCAAUUACUCAACUGCAGCUGAUAUCUGGUAUAUGGGCUGCAUAUUUUCUCACAUCAUUAAGCGCCAACCGCUGUUCAAUGAUAUAGACAAGCAUAGGGUAUUGGCUGAGAUAUUCUGAUCUAUACUCAUUUUGCUAUAAAACAUGAGAUGGUCACUCUUUUAGAGUCUUGAGUAAAGCAACAUGUCAACAAUAAUUUAUUCGUUAUAAUAAAGACUAGAAUAAAGACUUGUUGGAUUCCAUGCUACCUCAAUGAAGCUCCUGAAUUUAACUCUUCCAUUGAUGGUGCCAAUAAAAUAACAAAACUGUAAAGAAUUGUUCUUUCCUGAAAUUUGGGGGCAAUUCAAUGCUGCUAAGAUAAAUUAGAAGUUGAUUUGUGCAUUGUUGGAAAGUCAAUUAUGGCCAUCGAGGAGUCACGUUCGGCGGGAGAGAACUAGUUUUCUUAAGGAGCAAAU